This is a non-coding RNA of Choiromyces venosus 120613-1, 124 nucleotides long. Lineage: Eukaryota; Fungi; Ascomycota; Pezizomycetes; Pezizales; Tuberaceae. The record is from the annotation of a GenBank genome assembly.
GUGCCAAUAGCUCAGUUGGGAGAGCGUCAGACUGAAGUUUAAAUCAUUCUGUCUGUCUGUUGGUUGGUUUGUCAAAGAACUCGGGGUAAUCUGAAGGUCACCCGUUCAAUCCGGGUUUGGCGCA